GACGAGCGCUGGCGGCGUGCUUAACACAUGCAAGUCGAGCGGUAAGGCCCUUUCGGGGGUACACGAGCGGCGAACGGGUGAGUAACACGUGGGUGACCUGCCCUCAGCUCUGGGAUAAGCCUGGGAAACCGGGUCUAAUACCGGAUAUGACUCCAUGACGCAUGUUGUGGGGUGGAAAGCCUUGUGCGGCUGAGGAUGGGCCCGCGGCCUAUCAGCUUGUUGGUGGGGNGAUGGCCUACCAAGGCGACGACGGGUAGCCGGCCUGAGAGGGCGACCGGCCACACUGGGACUGAGACACGGCCCAGACUCCUACGGGAGGCAGCAGUGGGGAAUCUUG
Molecule: ribosomal RNA, 337 nt
Filed under: uncultured bacterium
Lineage: Bacteria
Description: bacterial SSU rRNA
Rfam family: Bacterial small subunit ribosomal RNA
Source: RNAcentral